AGAAUCAACGCUGGCGGCGUGCCUAACACAUGCAAGUCGAACGAGAAAGUGGAGCAAUCCAUGAGUAAAGUGGCGACCGGGUGAGUAACACGUGACUAACCUACCUUCGAGUGGGGGAUAACCUCGGGAAACCGAGGCUAAUACCGCAUAACAUCGCAAGAUCAAAGCAGCAAUGCGCUGGAAGAGGGGGUCGCGGCUGAUUAGCUAGUUGGCGGGGUAACGGCCCACAAGGCGAAGAUCGGUAGCCGGCCUGAGAGGGCGCACGGCCACACUGGAACUGAAACACGGUCCAGACUCCUACGGGAGGCAGCAGUGGGGAAUUUUGCGCAAUGGGGGAAACCCUGACGCAGCAACGCCGCGUGGAGGAUGAAGCCCCUUGGGGCGUAAACUCCUUUCGACCAAGACGAUAAUGACGGUACUGGUGGAAGAAGCACCGGCUAACUCUGUGCCAGCAGCCGC
Molecule: ribosomal RNA, 459 nt
Filed under: uncultured bacterium
Lineage: Bacteria
Description: SSU rRNA
Rfam family: Bacterial small subunit ribosomal RNA
Source: RNAcentral